AGCAGCCGCGGUAAUUCCAGCUCCAAUAGCGUAUAUUAAAGUUGUUGCAGUUAAAAAGCUCGUAGUUGAAUUUUGGAUUCUACCAAUUGGUCCAUCUUUUAGAUGAGUACUGGUUGUGUGGGGUCUAUCCGCCUGGUGAUACGUAAUGUCCUUUAUUGGAUGUUGCGGGUAGUCAGGACCUUUACCUUGAAAAAUUAGAGUGUUUAAAGCAGGCUUAUGCCGGAAUACAUUAGCAUGGAAUAAUAGAAUAGGACGAAGUUGUUUUAUUUUGUUGGUUUCUAGGACAACCGUAAUGAUUAAUAGGGAUAGUUGGGGGCAUUAGUAUUCAAUUGUCAGAGGUGAAAUUCUUGGAUUUAUUGAAGACUAACUACUGCGAAAGCAUUUGCCAAGGAUGUUUCAUUAAUCAAGAACGAAAGUUAGGGGAUACGAAGACGAUCAGAUACCGUCGUAGUCUUAACCAAUAAACUAUGCCGACUAGGGAGUCGGGCGAUGUUGUUUCCAUGACUCG
This 508-nucleotide ribosomal RNA is filed under the name uncultured Archaeosporaceae. Its description in RNAcentral is "SSU rRNA". It matches the Rfam family "Eukaryotic small subunit ribosomal RNA", at positions 569 to 1078 of the family's 1831-position model. The record is from RNAcentral. Lineage: Eukaryota; Fungi; Glomeromycota; Glomeromycetes; Archaeosporales; Archaeosporaceae.